RNAcentral lists this ribosomal RNA (53 nucleotides) under Streptomyces sp. MMG1522. Its description in RNAcentral is "partial 23S ribosomal RNA". RNAcentral also lists the same sequence under 3 other names. The record is from RNAcentral. Lineage: Bacteria; Bacillati; Actinomycetota; Actinomycetes; Kitasatosporales; Streptomycetaceae.
GGUAACGGGUGGAGCUGACUGGUACUAAUAGGCCGAGGGCUUGUCCUCAGUUG